Molecule: ribosomal RNA, 429 nt
Filed under: Bacteroidota bacterium
Lineage: Bacteria; Pseudomonadati; Bacteroidota
Description: Bacteroidetes bacterium partial 16S ribosomal RNA
Rfam family: Bacterial small subunit ribosomal RNA
Source: RNAcentral
UAGGGAAUCUUCCGCAAUGGGCGAAAGCCUGACGGAGCAACGCCGCGUGAGUGAUGAAGGUCUUCGGAUCGUAAAACUCUGUUAUUAGGGAAGCACAAAUGUGUAAGUAACUAUGCACGUCUUGACGGUACCUAAUCAGAAAGCCACGGCUAACUACGUGCCAGCAGCCGCGGUAAUACGUAGGUGGCAAGCGUUAUCCGGAAUUAUUGGGCGUAAAGCGCGCGUAGGCGGUUUUUUAAGUCUGAUGUGAAAGCCCACGGCUCAACCGUGGAGGGUCAUUGGAAACUGGAAAACUUGAGUGCAGAAGAGGAAAGUGGAAUUCCAUGUGUAACGGUGAAAUGCGCAGAGAUAUGGAGGAACACCAGUGGCGAAGGCGACUUUCUGGUCUGUAACUGACGCUGAUGUGCGAAAGCGUGGGAAUCAAACAGG